GACGAACGCUGGCGGCGUGCCUAAUACAUGCAAGUCGAACGCUUCUUUCCUCCCUAGUGCUUGCACUCCAUUGGAAAGAGGAGUGGCGGACGGGUGAGUAACACGUGGGUAACCUACCCAUCAGAGGGGGAUAACACUUGGAAACAGGUGCUAAUACCGCAUAACAGUUUAUGCCGCAUGGCAUAAGAGUGAAAGGCGCUUUCUGGUGUCGCUGAUGGAUGGACCCGCGGUGCAUUAGCUAGUUGGUGAGGUAACGGCUCACCAAGGCCACGAUGCAUAGCCGACCUGAGAGGGGGAUCGGCCACACUGGGACUGAGACACGGCCCAGACUCCUACGGGAGGCAGCAGUAGGGAAUAUUCGGCAAUGGACGAAAGUCUGACCGAGCAACGCCGCGUGAGUGAAGAAGGUUUUCGGAUCGUAAAACUCUGUUGUUAGAGAAGAACAAGGACGUUAGUAACUGAACGUCCCCUGACGGUAUCUAACCAGAAAGCCAAGGAUAACUACGUG
RNAcentral lists this ribosomal RNA (508 nucleotides) under uncultured bacterium. RNAcentral's name for it is "partial 16S ribosomal RNA". It matches the Rfam family "Bacterial small subunit ribosomal RNA", at positions 28 to 507 of the family's 1533-position model. The record is from RNAcentral.